This 483-nucleotide ribosomal RNA is filed under the name uncultured bacterium. RNAcentral's name for it is "partial 16S ribosomal RNA". It matches the Rfam family "Bacterial small subunit ribosomal RNA", at positions 30 to 507 of the family's 1533-position model. The record is from RNAcentral.
UUGAACGCUUGCGGCAGGCCUAACACAUGCAAGUCGAGCGGAUGAAGGGAGCUUGCUCCUGGAUUCAGCGGCGGACGGGUGAGUAAUGCCUAGGAAUCUGCCUGGGAGUGGGGGAUAACGUCCGGAAACGGGCGCUAAUACCGCAUACGUCCUGAGGGAGAAAGUGGGGGAUCUUCGGACCUCACGCUAUCAGAUGAGCCUAGGUCGGAUUAGCUAGUUGGUGGGGUAAAGGCCUACCAAGGCGACGAUCCGUAACUGGUCUGAGAGGAUGAUCAGUCACACUGGAACUGAGACACGGUCCAGACUCCUACGGGAGGCAGCAGUGGGGAAUAUUGGACAAUGGGCGAAAGCCUGAUCCAGCCAUGCCGCGUGUGUGAAGAAGGUCUUCGGAUUGUAAAGCACUUUAAGUUGGGAGGAAGGGCAGUAAGUUAAUACCUUGCUGUUUUGACGUUACCAACAGAAUAAGCACCGGCUAACUUCGUG